AGGGUUAAAUGAGACAGUGCGAUCUAUUGUCCGCAGUGUUCUAGAUAAAAAAGCAAAAA
RNAcentral lists this non-coding RNA (59 nucleotides) under Pediococcus pentosaceus ATCC 25745. The record is from RNAcentral. Lineage: Bacteria; Bacillati; Bacillota; Bacilli; Lactobacillales; Lactobacillaceae.